Long non-coding RNA from Labeo rohita (rohu), 638 nucleotides. RefSeq lists it as uncharacterized. The transcript has 2 exons. The record is from RefSeq and is a predicted model, not a curated record. Lineage: Eukaryota; Metazoa; Chordata; Actinopteri; Cypriniformes; Cyprinidae.
CUGAGAUUUACGAUAACAUUUACUCAGUUCCUAUUACAGUUACUUAGCCGGCAAGAAGCAGACUGAGACAACAGCUCCUUGUAGCUUUACCACAACUUCUAUCAACAGAUGGAUAGAAGGAUUAUCUUGGUGAUUUUAGGCAAAGAUUAGAGGACAGCAGAUGCCCUCUGUGGGUGGAGAGGAGCAUUAGGGAGUGGAGAAGCGAGAGAUGAAUAAAGGUAUAAGCAGAAAAAACGAUAAGCAUGCACGUGGGCAAGUAAUCAGAGUGAUGCUGGGGAAAAAAAUGGAAUUUGGCUUACAUUGUGAUGCAGAUUCAUACAAACACAUCGCCUACCACACGUCUGCUAUCUCUGCUAUCUCACAAGAGCAGUUUCUGUUUGUGCCUGUUUAUCCAGUUAUUAGUGCAAAGAAUAAAUAAUACACAAGUUAUACAUUUAAUUCAUUUUAUUGUACACAGGGAAUUUUCACAUAUACAAUUUGUACACAUUUUUCAUUAUAUUAUUAUUAUUAUUUCUAUUUUUUUCUCCAAAGGGAAUGCUUUUGUUGUUGUUUUGUUUAUAUUGUGCUGACAAGUCAAGUUACAUUUAGGAAAACAAAAUAAGAAAGAAAUUAAAUGUUCAGGAAAGAAGCGCAAAAAA